RNAcentral lists this long non-coding RNA (2368 nucleotides) under Daphnia pulicaria. RNAcentral's name for it is "uncharacterized LOC124343389". Lineage: Eukaryota; Metazoa; Arthropoda; Branchiopoda; Diplostraca; Daphniidae. The record is from RNAcentral.
AUUCGACCAUCUUAAUCGGAAGUGAACUAUUCUUAGGCAUUUUUAGUGAAUCGUGAGAGUUUUGACUUUUCGAAAGAUCCAUUUUAAAAUCUACUUCAAUUUAUUUUGUGAAAGCAUGCCGAAGAUUUUUUUGCCUUUCUCCACGUGAUCGCUGCCGUGUCAUGAAGAUGCUUCUUUGAGAGUCUCUUAUUGCAAGACAAAAAUGUGAUGAGAACAGGUAAUCUGAGUUGUAUUAUGUACUUUAAGAUAAAUCAAGUAGAGUUCAACCUGCAGACGGACCUGCCAGUUUGCAUGUCCUUCACGCUUGAAGGUCGCGGGGAACAUUACGUAAAACGUAUCAUGUGUGUAAAACUGUCAAUGCGGUGGUGUAGAGGUUGGACCCAUCCCCCGCAACGUCUACCUGUAGAAGGAAAGGCCAGUUUGCAUUUCCUUCACGCUCGAAGGUCACGAAGAUCAUUAAGUAAACCGUAAAAUGCGACGGCCUAGAGGUUGGGUGAGGACGACACGUGUUGCAUCAUUAUCAAGCAGGUAAAAUAGCCGCAAGGCUUAAGAGGUGAUCAGUAUGAGAAAAAAAUAAAGAGAGAGAAGAGGCGACAGAAAUUAGUCGAGUGAGCACCUCUGACCCGGAAACAACCGUAGCGCACUGUCUGUCACCAAGUGACUUCUUCAUCUAAUCGUACAACCAAUUCGCAAUCAUGAGGUGCCCGCUCUUCUGGAAACCUAUUCACGUCGGAUAGGUUUGUACGUUUUUAUUUUAUUUUAUUUUUUUAUUUUUAUUAAUUAAAAUAGGUUCCCUCCGGGCCUCUGGGAGGAGAGCCAGAGCCCAGAGGAGGCUUUCAACGACUGCUAGAGUUAAUUGGCAACAUCACCAAGGUUUCACGUUUCAUUCUUAAAUAGUAGUUGCCUGAUUUGGUAGGUUAAAAUUAAAUUAAUUACACGGCAUGUCGAUACCUAAAAGAUCGCAAUCUGGGCACACGUUCCUUUAUCUGGUUACAUUUGGGAUUUUCACUAGCCCGCUCGAAAAUAGCUGCGUAACGAUCAAGAAAGUCUAAAACCUAAAUCCCAAACAACUUAUCUUUUAUCCUGUCUCUUGGUUUGUGAUUCUUUUUUCUGCAUAAAAAAUCAACUUAAAAAAACAGUCUACCGGAACCGGAGCCUUAAUAAAAGUGAAAAGAUGUGCUGAAGUGUUUUGUUAAUCAUGGAGAUUUUUAGAUUUGUCAGUCGAUCUCGGAUCUGGAAGCUGGAACGGGUUUUUCUUUAUUCAAGAUUCUAACACAAUUUUAUUUUAAAAAUUAGUCGUUAAGCCCAGCCGGUUAUAAUGCUGAACAGUGAACAUUUUAUAUUCACAGUUCACACUUCACAGUCGAAUUUGCCGCUUUGGCUCUUAGCAAUUGCAGGGAUGCCAGAUGCGGACUUUUAAAUUGCAAAACUGAAAAUGGCAAUGUUGCGCCUUGCCCGUUACUUUCAAGAUGGCUGUUACUGCUGUCAGAGUGUCAGUCUUACGUGGUUACGCCAAUCUCUUCGGAUCUAACAUAAUUCAACUCAACUUUCUCAACUUAUUUUCCCUGGCAUUAUUCGCCAUAAAAAUGAUAACAUAGCCUGCAAUUUAUACAUGGCAAUUUCAUCUUAUCAUGUGGCCUGAAACUGCUGUUUCCCAAAAUGUCGUCUCUAGCUGCACGUACCGGCUGUACGCUUCAGAACAGUAAAUGUGAUCAUUUUGAGCUUCUUCAUUGCAGUCCAGAUUUCUCAUUGAUUUGUUGAAGCCAGCUGGCGAAAGGUGUUGCUCUUACUGUCUUGCUACCUGUACCAGUUGUAGCUUUCGUCACACACUGAAACACUUCCGAACAAUUUAAAUAGGAUUAACAGCUACUUGAAGUCUGAGCCUCUUUGUUGCAGUCCAAUAUGUACAUGAAUGUUGUGAAGCCAGCUGGAGAAUGGUGUGGUGAGCUGUUGCAUGCCGACUGGGUUGCUGGUGUCGUUUGUUCAUUUAACUAUGGACCGUUCAGUCGUUCGUUUAUCGUUUCCAUGGUCAGUUUUAUGUUUGAGCUGUUUGUGGCGUUGCUGUUUGGGGUACAGUGGUUUUGCAGUCAUUUUCUAGUUGAGAGAUGCGCUGAAAUGGAGCUUGUGCGGACUUGCAGUUGAACAUAAUACUUUAAUGUGUUAUUUGCCUAUGUCGGUGUCCAUGCACUCUAUGCAGUGUUGAACUGCUGUGAAAAAUAAUCGAUAUUGCCUGAUGGCUGUCGGGCUUAUUUUAUCGGCAGCAUGUUGUCGAUAUGUCGUCUCUUGCUACCUGUACCGCCGUUGAGGUAAUGCUUGAUGUACAGUCUCAUUUAAUCAUUGACUUUAAGUUAAUAUCUCCGUUUUCAUU